Callithrix jacchus (white-tufted-ear marmoset) is the source of this 1004-nucleotide non-coding RNA. The record is from RefSeq and is a predicted model, not a curated record. NCBI's taxonomy places the organism in Eukaryota, Metazoa, Chordata, Mammalia, Primates, Cebidae.
AUAUAACAAAGUUUUGGUACAUUGCAAUACAACUAUGCAGACAUUGAAGAUCUUAUAAAACAAGAGGGUAGUUUCAUGAAUGACAAAUUUUCAAAACACACAUCUGAUUAUGCCAUUAAUUUCCUCCUCCCUAGUCUAGGACCUGUUGUUGUUCACUUCUUGUGGGUGUCAGGUCAUGGCACAUUCUGUCUCAGAAAGCCCCUCCUCAAUAAACCUUCUUUGAUAACUCUGUCCCACUGUCCCUUAACAGGGUGGAGAGACACAACCCCUGACUUCUGUCUUUCUCCUUGCCACGCCUGGAAAUCUGCUUAUUACAGCAUUGGGAUUGGAUGAUUCCCAAACUAGAAUUCAGUCCAUUGACCAUGACUCAGCAGGCAAAGUGACAAUUGUUGAGUGGAUGUUUGAUCUACAUAGGAUGAUAGCUGUUCAGAGUGGCCUCCUCACUGCUAUACAGACACCUCUGGACUUGUCCUGAAGGUAGACUUUUAAAUACAUUUCUGGAAUUUUCUUUCUUCGUUUUCACUAACUCCAUUCUUAUUCCUAGGUAAUUCAAAUAAACUUGGUUAUUUGUGAUUUCUCAAUUCAUGGCAGAUUAAAAGAAAAAUCAGAAUAUGGCAUUCUUUAGAAGGGGAACUUAAGCAUGAACAUUUACUUUUGUUCCCUUUGAAGGUAGAGAGGGAGGGGGAAGUCAUCUGGAAGGAGGAACAAUCUUCCCUGAUCACAUGAAGUGGGUUCUCAUGUGAUGCAAUAUCCCCACAGGAGGAAACCAAGGGGAGGGGCUGCUGGCCAGUGGCCACCAGGCUCCCAGAGCUGGAAUUCAAAGCCAUGGAUGGAGAGCCAAACUCUGCGUGUGCUUCGCCUAUUAGGCUAAUUAUGCUUAAAAACUACACAAAUGGGCAAGGAUCAGCAUGAUGUCUGAAGAAAGACAGAAGGAAUUGAGAAGUGCUACAGAUGAACAGGUUCAGCCCCUACAUUUUGCAGUAGGGCUGCAAAGCAAGACAUGA